RNAcentral lists this transfer RNA (70 nucleotides) under Salmo salar (Atlantic salmon). It matches the Rfam family "tRNA". From Rfam's summary of the family: Transfer RNA (tRNA) molecules are approximately 80 nucleotides in length. Their secondary structure includes four short double-helical elements and three loops (D, anti-codon, and T loops). Lineage: Eukaryota; Metazoa; Chordata; Actinopteri; Salmoniformes; Salmonidae. The record is from Rfam by way of RNAcentral.
CCCCGUGUAGCUCAGUUGGUAGAGCAUGGUGUUUGCAAUGCCAGGGUUGUGGGUUCGAUUCCCACGGGGG